This 86-nucleotide transfer RNA is filed under the name Rhizobium sp. Its description in RNAcentral is "tRNA-OTHER". It matches the Rfam family "tRNA". From Rfam's summary of the family: Transfer RNA (tRNA) molecules are approximately 80 nucleotides in length. Their secondary structure includes four short double-helical elements and three loops (D, anti-codon, and T loops). Lineage: Bacteria; Pseudomonadati; Pseudomonadota; Alphaproteobacteria; Hyphomicrobiales; Rhizobiaceae. The record is from RNAcentral.
GGAAAGGUGGCCGAGUGGCUUAAGGCACCGCUAACGCGGCACACGGGAAACCGUGUCGAAGGUUCGAAUCCUAUCCCUUUCCUCCA